GUGGGGAAUAUUGCUCAAUGGGCGAAAGCCUGAAGCAGCAACGCCGCGUGGGGGAUGAAGGUUCUCGGAUUGUAAACCCCUUUCGAUCGGAACGAAUCCCCUCCCGGUAAAUAAUCGGGAGGAUUGACGGUACCGAGAGAAGAAGCCACGGCUAACUCUGUGCCAGCAGCCGCGGUAAGACAGAGGUGGCGAGCGUUGUUCGGAUUUAUUGGGCGUAAAGCGCACGCAGGCGGUUUGGUAAGUCAGGGGUGAAAUCCCGCAGCUUAACUGCGGUACUGCCUUUGAUACUGCCUUUCUUGAGUGCAUGAGGGGGAAGCGGAAUUCCGAGUGUAGAGGUGAAAUUCGUAGAUAUUCGGAGGAACACCGGUGGCGAAGGCGGCUUCCUGGCAUGUAACUGACGCUCAUGUGCGAAAGCGUGGGGAGCAAACAGGAUUAGAAACCCCUGUAGUCC
RNAcentral lists this ribosomal RNA (451 nucleotides) under uncultured bacterium. RNAcentral's name for it is "bacterial SSU rRNA". It matches the Rfam family "Bacterial small subunit ribosomal RNA", at positions 354 to 796 of the family's 1533-position model. The record is from RNAcentral.